CCUACGGGAGGCAGCAGUGGGGAAUAUUGCACAAUGGGCGCAAGCCUGAUGCAGCCAUGCCGCGUGUGUGAAGAAGGCCUUCGGGUUGUAAAGCACUUUCAGCGGGGAGGAAGGCGGUGAGGUUAAUAACCUCAUCGAUUGACGUUACCCGCAGAAGAAGCACCGGCUAACUCCGUGCCAGCAGCCGCGGUAAUACGGAGGGUGCAAGCGUUAAUCGGAAUUACUGGGCGUAAAGCGCACGCAGGCGGUCUGUCAAGUCGGAUGUGAAAUCCCCGGGCUCAACCUGGGAACUGCAUUCGAAACUGGCAGGCUAGAGUUUUGUAGAGGGGGGUAGAAUUCCAGGUGUAGCGGUGAAAUGCGUAGAGAUCUGGAGGAAUACCGGUGGCGAAGGCGGCCCCCUGGACAAAGACUGACGCUCAGGUGCGAAAGCGUGGGGAGCAAACAGGAUUAGAUACCCCAGUAGUC
Molecule: ribosomal RNA, 465 nt
Filed under: uncultured Klebsiella sp.
Lineage: Bacteria; Pseudomonadati; Pseudomonadota; Gammaproteobacteria; Enterobacterales; Enterobacteriaceae
Description: bacterial SSU rRNA
Rfam family: Bacterial small subunit ribosomal RNA
Source: RNAcentral